Molecule: unclassified non-coding RNA, 372 nt
Filed under: uncultured Flavobacteriaceae bacterium
Lineage: Bacteria; Pseudomonadati; Bacteroidota; Flavobacteriia; Flavobacteriales; Flavobacteriaceae
Description: contains 16S-23S intergenic spacer region
Source: RNAcentral
UCACUACUUGCGUAGGCAGUCUGGCUAGAGUCCCCAUCUUUACAUGCUGGUAACUAACCAAAGGGGUUGCGCUCGUUAUAGGACUUAACCUGACACCUCACGGCACGAGCUGACGACAACCAUGCAGCACCUUGUAAAUUGUCCGAAGAAAUACUUGUUUCCAAAUACGUCAAUCUACAUUUAAGCCUUGGUAAGGUUCCUCGCGUAUCAUCGAAUUAAACCACAUGCUCCACCGCUUGUGCGGGCCCCCGUCAAUUCCUUUGAGUUUCAUUCUUGCGAACGUACUCCCCAGGUGGGAUACUUAUCACUUUCGCUUAACCACUGAUCCUUGCGAACCAACAGCUAGUAUCCAUCGUUUACGGCGUGGACUAC